RNAcentral lists this non-coding RNA (958 nucleotides) under Conolophus subcristatus (Galapagos land iguana). RNAcentral describes it as "12S ribosomal RNA". It matches the Rfam family "Bacterial small subunit ribosomal RNA". Lineage: Eukaryota; Metazoa; Chordata; Lepidosauria; Squamata; Iguanidae. The record is from RNAcentral.
UAAAGCUUUGGUCCUAAACUUAAUGCUAUUUUUGAUUAAAAUUACACAUGCAAGCAUCCGCACACCAGUGAGAAUGCCCUUAACAGCAUAAACGGAGCAGGUAUCAGGCACGAACACAUCAGCCCAAAACACCUAGCAAUGCCACACCCACACGGGUAAUCAGCAGUGAUAAACAUUAAGCAAUGAGCGACUCUAUAUUUUCCCAGCUUUCAAAGCUCGACUUAGUUAUAAUCAUAAAGGGCCGGCCAACUUCGUGCCAGCCGCCGCGGUUAUACGAGGGGCCCAAAAUAGCAAACAUCGGCGUAAAUUGUGACUAGAAUAAAUUUUAAACACCAAAAGACAAACCAUGGCCUAACCGUAAAACGCAGACCAAAAGAAGCCCACCCUUUUGGCACCAGAAAUAUUUGAUUCACGAAAACUAAGAAACAAACUAGGAUUAGAUACCCUACUAUGCUUAGACGUUAAUACGACACUUUCCCUACACCAGUGUUCGCCAGAGAACUACUAGCGAAAAGCUUGAAACUCAAAGGACUUGGCGGUGCUCCAUACUCGACUUAGAGGAGCCUGUCCUAUAACCGAUGAUCCACGAUAAACCUUACCAUUUUUUGCCAUAUCAGCCUAUAUACCGCCGUCGCCAACUUACCCCAUGAGGGCUAAAAAGUAAGUACAAUAGUACAACAACUAAUACGUCAGGUCAAGGUGUAGCUAAUAAAAUGGUAGAGAUGGGCUACAUUUUUUAACAUAAAACACACGGCAAAGCACCAUGAAACUUGGUGCUCGAAGGCGGAUUUAACAGUAAGACAAGCAAGAAAGCUUGCCUUAAACUCGCUCUGGAGCGCGCACACACCGCCCGUCACCCUCCUCAACCAAAAACAACCCGUACAUAACACAAAUUACACCAAAAAGAUGAGGUAAGUCGUAACAUGGUAAGCGUACUGGAAAGUGCGCUUGGACAAAA